AUUGAACGCUGGCGGAAUGCUUUACACAUGCAAGUCGAACGGCAGCACGGGGGCAACCCUGGUGGCGAGUGGCGAACGGGUGAGUAAUACAUCGGAACGUGCCCGGUCGUGGGGGAUAACGUAGCGAAAGUUACGCUAAUACCGCAUACGAUCUGAGGAUGAAAGCGGGGGACCUUCGGGCCUCGCGCGAUCGGAGCGGCCGAUGUCAGAUUAGGUAGUUGGUGGGGUAAAUGCCUACCAAGCCGACGAUCUGUAGCUGGUCUGAGAGGACGACCAGCCACACUGGGACUGAGACACGGCCCAGACUCCGACGGGAGGCAGCAGUGGGGAAUUUUGGACAAGGGGCGCAAGCCUGAUCCAGCCAUUCCGCGUGCAGGACGAAGGCCUUCGGGUUGUAAACUGCUUUUGUAUGGAACGAAAAGGCUCUGGCUAAUACCUGGGGCUCAUGACGGUACCGUAAGAAUAAGCACCGGCUAACUACGUG
RNAcentral lists this ribosomal RNA (484 nucleotides) under uncultured bacterium. RNAcentral describes it as "partial 16S ribosomal RNA". It matches the Rfam family "Bacterial small subunit ribosomal RNA", at positions 30 to 507 of the family's 1533-position model. The record is from RNAcentral.